GAUGAACGCUAGCUACAGGCUUAACACAUGCAAGUCGAGGGGAAACGACAUCGAAAGCUUGCUUUUGAUGGGCGUCGACCGGCGCACGGGUGAGUAACGCGUAUCCAACCUGCCCAUCACUUGGGAAUAACCUUGCGAAAGUAAGACUAAUACCCAAUGACAUCCCACGAAGACAUCUGAAUGGGAUUAAAGAUUUAUCGGUGAUGGAUGGGGAUGCGUCUGAUUGGCUUGUUGGCGGGGUAACGGCCCACCAAGGCAACGAUCAGUAGGGGUUCUGAGAGGAAGGUCCCCCACAUUGGAACUGAGACACGGUCCAAACUCCUACGGGGGGCAGCAGUGAGGAAUAUUGGUCAAUGGGCGAGAGCCUGAACCAGCCAAGUAGCGUGCAGGAUGACGGCCCUAUGGGUUGUAAACUGCUUUUAUAAGGGAAUAAAGUGGGUCUCGUGAGACUUUUUGCAUGUACCUUAUGAAUAAGGACCGGCUAAUUCCGUG
This 492-nucleotide ribosomal RNA is filed under the name uncultured bacterium. RNAcentral's name for it is "partial 16S ribosomal RNA". It matches the Rfam family "Bacterial small subunit ribosomal RNA", at positions 28 to 507 of the family's 1533-position model. The record is from RNAcentral.